AGAGUUUGAUCAUGGCUCAGAGCGAACGCUGGCGGCAGGCCUAAAACAUGCAAGUCGAACGGAUCCUUCGGGAUUAGUGGCGGACGGGUGAGUAACACGUGGGAACGUGCCUUUUGGUUCGGAACAACUCAGGGAAACUUGAGCUAAUACCGAAUGUGCCCUUCGGGGGAAAGAUUUAUCGCCAUUAGAGCGGCCCGCGUCUGAUUAGCUAGUUGGUAGGGUAAAGGCCUACCAAGGCUACGAUCAGUAGCUGGUCUGAGAGGAUGAUCAGCCACACUGGGACUGAGACACGGCCCAGACUCCUACGGGAGGCAGCAGUUAGGAAUCUUGCGCAAUGGGCGAAAGCCUGACGCAGCCAUGCCGCGUGAAUGAUGAAGGUCUUAGGAUUGUAAAAUUCUUUCAGCGGGGACGAUAAUGACGGUACCCGCAGAAGAAGCUCCGGCUAACUUCGUGCCAGCAGCCGCGGUAAUACGAAGGGGGCUAGCGUUGCUCGGAAUUACUGGGCGUAAAGGGCGCGUAGGCGGACAGUUAAGUCAGAGGUGAAAGCCCAGGGCUCAACCUUGGAACUGCCUUUGAUACUGGCUGUCUAGAGUGCGGGAGAGGUGUGUGGAACUCCGAGUGUAGAGGUGAAAUUCGUAGAUAUUCGGAAGAACACCAGUGGCGAAGGCGACACACUGGCCCGUAACUGACGCUGAGGCGCGAAAGCGUGGGGAGCAAAAGGAUUAGAUACCCUAGUAGUCC
This 741-nucleotide ribosomal RNA is filed under the name uncultured bacterium. Its description in RNAcentral is "bacterial SSU rRNA". It matches the Rfam family "Bacterial small subunit ribosomal RNA", at positions 8 to 796 of the family's 1533-position model. The record is from RNAcentral.